GAAAGGCGGCUUUGUUGUCACUUAUAGAUGGAUCCGCGCCGUAUUAGCUAGUUGGUAAGGUAACGGCUUACCAAGGCAACGAUACGUAGCCGACCUGAGAGGGUGAUCGGCCACACUGGAACUGAGACACGGUCCAGACUCCUACGGGAGGCAGCAGUAGGGAAUCUUCCGCAAUGGGCGAAAGCCUGACGGAGCAACGCCGCGUGAGUGAUGAAGGUCUUCGGAUCGUAAAACUCUGUUAUCAGGGAAGAACAAAUGUGUAAGUAACUGUGCACAUCUUGACGGUACCUGAUCAGAAAGCCACGGCUAACUACGUGCCAGCAGCCGCGGUAAUACGUAGGUGGCAAGCGUUAUCCGGAAUUAUUGGGCGUAAAGCGCGCGUAGGCGGUUUUUUAAGUCUGAUGUGAAAGCCCACGGCUCAACCGUGGAGGGUCAUUGGAAACUGGAAAACUUGAGUGCAGAAGAGGAAAGUGGAAUUCCAUGUGUAGCGGUGAAAUGCGCAGAGAUAUGGAGGAACACCAGUGGCGAAGGCGACUUUCUGGUCUGUAACUGACGCUGAUGUGCGAAAGCGUGGGGAUCAAACAGGAUUAGAUACCCUGGUAGUCCACGCCGUAAACGAUGAGUGCUAAGUGUUAGGGGGUUUCCGCCCCUUAGUGCUGC
RNAcentral lists this ribosomal RNA (660 nucleotides) under uncultured bacterium. RNAcentral describes it as "bacterial SSU rRNA". It matches the Rfam family "Bacterial small subunit ribosomal RNA", at positions 202 to 849 of the family's 1533-position model. The record is from RNAcentral.